AAGUCGUAACAAGGUUUCCGUAGGUGAACCUGCGGAAGGAUCAUUAAAAAAAUCUUUAAAUAUAAGGAGAACCGCAAGGUUCUCUAACUAUUUUGUGAAAAGUGUGAAUAGUUAUGGUGGGUGGGGAUAAGAUAUUGAUUGUGUGUGCUGUAGGUGUGUGAUGCAUGCCGGUGCAUAUGUAAUUGGUUGAUAUUUUGACUUGCUGUAACUAUUUAUUUUAAAUACAUGUUAUAUAUUGAUGAAGUAUGUGUAAAUAUAUAUAGAGUAUCAAAGGGGUUCGAUGUUAUCAGUCCUUUUGGUAUGAUAUAUAAUAUAAUAUAUAUACAACUUUCAACAGUGGAUCUCUCGGCUCUU
This 354-nucleotide unclassified non-coding RNA is filed under the name fungal sp. Its description in RNAcentral is "partial internal transcribed spacer region". The stretch from base 1 to 46 matches the Rfam family "Eukaryotic small subunit ribosomal RNA", at positions 1786 to 1831 of the family's 1831-position model. Lineage: Eukaryota; Fungi. The record is from RNAcentral.